AGCCCUAAGUGGGUGGUAAACUCCAUCUAAGGCUAAAUAUGACCACGAGACCGAUAGCGAACAAGUACCGUGAGGGAAAGUUGAAAAGCACUUUGAAGAGAGAGUUCAAGAGUACGUGAAACCGUUUAGGGGUAAACCUGAGAAACCCGAAAGGUCGAAGGGAGAAAUUCAUUCGCGUUUCGCCGUCGGCGUGAGGUGGUCGUGUGACGGAAAACGUUAGCGUUUUCCGCGCCUUCUGCUUCUGCGAUCCGAUAGCGAACGCGUGCACUUUUCUCCUGGUAGGACGUCGCGAUCCGUUGGGUGUCGGUCUACGGCUCGCGGUGGAGCCCGGACGUACGGCUUGCCGUUACGUUCGGACCCGCGUGUCCCGGCUGACUCGCUCGACGGUAUGCGAAAGGUUUAAGGCCGCUCUCUAGGAGCGUUCGGCUCGUAGCAAGCGCGUCAGAUGUGUCGGCGAUCGGACCUGGUGCCGGUUCUGACCUCUGAUGACUGUUGGCUGCGAAGUUCUCGAACAGAGCUUCAAACCGAUUUGCGACGCUAUAGCUUUGGGUACUUUCAG
Molecule: ribosomal RNA, 559 nt
Filed under: Trichalophus alternatus
Lineage: Eukaryota; Metazoa; Arthropoda; Insecta; Coleoptera; Curculionidae
Description: partial 28S ribosomal RNA
Rfam family: Eukaryotic large subunit ribosomal RNA
Source: RNAcentral